RNAcentral lists this ribosomal RNA (327 nucleotides) under uncultured Anoxybacillus sp. Its description in RNAcentral is "bacterial SSU rRNA". It matches the Rfam family "Bacterial small subunit ribosomal RNA", at positions 1053 to 1382 of the family's 1533-position model. Lineage: Bacteria; Bacillati; Bacillota; Bacilli; Caryophanales; Anoxybacillaceae. The record is from RNAcentral.
CGUCAGCUCGUGUCGUGAGAUGUUGGGUUAAGUCCGCAACGAGCGCAACCCUCGACCUUAGUUGCCAGCAUUCAGUUGGGCACUCUAAGGUGACUGCCGGCUAAAAGUCGGAGGAAGGUGGGGAUGACGUCAAAUCAUCAUGCCCCUUAUGACCUGGGCUACACACGUGCUACAAUGGGCGGUACAAAGGGUCGCGAACCCGCGAGGGGGAGCCAAUCCCAAAAAGCCGCUCUCAGUUCGGAUUGCAGGCUGCAACUCGCCUGCAUGAAGCCGGAAUCGCUAGUAAUCGCGGAUCAGCAUGCCGCGGUGAAUACGUUCCCGGGCCUU